This 497-nucleotide ribosomal RNA is filed under the name uncultured bacterium. Its description in RNAcentral is "partial 16S ribosomal RNA". It matches the Rfam family "Bacterial small subunit ribosomal RNA", at positions 28 to 507 of the family's 1533-position model. The record is from RNAcentral.
GAUGAACGCUGGCGGCGUGCCUAAUACAUGCAAGUCGAGCGAACGGACGAGAAGCUUGCUUCUCUGAUGUUAGCGGCGGACGGGUGAGUAACACGUGGAUAACCUACCUAUAAGACUGGGAUAACUUCGGGAAACCGUAGCUAAUACCGGAUAAUAUUUUGAACCGUAUGGUUCAAAAGUGAAAGGCGGUCUUGCUGUCACUUAUAGAUGGAUCCGCGCUGCAUUAGCUAGUUGGUAAGGUAACGGCUUACCAAGGCAACGAUGCAUAGCCGACCUGAGAGGGUGAUCGGCCACACUGGAACUGAGACACGGUCCAGACUCCUACGGGAGGCAGCAGUAGGGAAUCUUCCGCAAUGGGCGAAAGCCUGACGGAGCAACGCCGCGUGAGUGAUGAAGGUCUUCGGAUCGUAAAACUCUGUUAUUAGGGAAGAACAUAUGUGUAAGUAACUGUGCACAUCUUGACGGUACCUAAUCAGAAAGCCACGGCUAACUACGUG